Molecule: ribosomal RNA, 253 nt
Filed under: uncultured bacterium
Lineage: Bacteria
Description: partial 16S ribosomal RNA
Rfam family: Bacterial small subunit ribosomal RNA
Source: RNAcentral
UACGGAGGGUGCAAGCGUUAAUCGGAAUUACUGGGCGUAAAGCGCGCGUAGGCGGCUGGGUAAGUCGAUUGUGAAAGCCCCGGGCUCAACCUGGGAAUUGCAGUCGAGACUGCUCGGCUAGAGUGUGGGAGAGGGCAGUGGAAUUCCCGGUGUAGCGGUGAAAUGCGUAGAUAUCUGGAGGAACAUCAGUGGCGAAGGCGACUGCCUGGCCCAACACUGACGCUGAGGUGCGAAAGCGUGGGUAGCAAACAGG